Molecule: ribosomal RNA, 531 nt
Filed under: Triticum aestivum (bread wheat)
Lineage: Eukaryota; Viridiplantae; Streptophyta; Magnoliopsida; Poales; Poaceae
Description: partial small subunit ribosomal RNA
Source: RNAcentral
AUGUGUGCACCCAAGAGAGAUGGGGGUUUAGGGUUUAGAGACCCUCAAGCAUUCAACCAAGCUCUUCUUGCCAAGCAGGCCUUGCGGAUCCUCUCUUCUCCGUCAUCUCUGGUUGCUAGAGUUCUCAAGGCAAGGUACUUUCAAGAUAGCUCCAUCCUUGCAUCUACCUACCCCUCAAAUGCUUCAUACACUUUCCGAAGCAUCCUGCAUGGAAGAGAUCUGCUACGGGAAGGUUUAGUUUGGAGAAUUGGUGACGGCUCCCGGGUCAACAUUCACCAUGAAAACUGGAUUCCAAGGAAUGGAUACAUGCGGCCACUAGGUCAGCAGUAUCUCCAGGGGGUCAUGAAGGUUGUUGACUUGUUAAACUCGGAUGGAACGGCCUGGAAUGUUGAGAGAGUUGAUGAGAUGUUCUCUGCCUCGGAUGCCUCUGAUAUUAAGAAAAUCACGGUGGGAGGGCCAGGCACUGAGGAUACCCUUGCCUGGAACUUCACAAAAAUGGCAUUUUCAGCGUCCGCUCGGCCUUUCACUUAA